RNAcentral lists this ribosomal RNA (696 nucleotides) under Lispe tentaculata. Its description in RNAcentral is "partial 12S ribosomal RNA". The record is from RNAcentral. Lineage: Eukaryota; Metazoa; Arthropoda; Insecta; Diptera; Muscidae.
UGUCCCUAUUAUUGAAAAUGUAAAUUAAAAAUUAAGAUAGUAAUAGUUAUGUUCUUGAAACUUAAAAAAUUUGGCGGUAUUUUAGUCUAUUCAGAGGAACUUGUCUCAUAAUCGAUAAUCCACGAUGGACCUUACUUAAAUUUGUAUAGUUUAUAUACCGUCGUUAUUAGAAUAUUUUAAAAGAAUAAUAAUUUUCAUAAUUUUUAAAUUUAAAAUAUAUCAGAUCAAGGUGUAGCUUAUAUUUAAGUAGAGAUGGGUUACAAUAAAUUUAUUUAAACGAAUAUAAAUAUGAAAAAUUUAUUAAAGGAGGAUUUGAUAGUAAAAUUAUAAAGAUUAAUAAUUUGAUUUUAGCUCUAAAAUAUGUACAUAUCGCCCGUCGCUCUUAUUAUUAAGGUAAGAUAAGUCGUAACAUAGUAGAUGUACUGGAAAGUGUAUCUAGAACGCAAUUUAAAGCUUUUUUUUAGUAAAGUAUUUCAUUUACAUUGAAAUGAUUAUUGUGCAAUUCAAUAUAAAUUGAUUAGAUUUUAUUUAUUAAUUUAUUUAUAAUUUUAUAUAUUUUAUUAAAAAUAUUUAUAAUUUUUUUUUUGUUUUAGUAUUAUAUUAAGAAAAAAUAAUUUUUAUUAUAGUUUAAUAGUAUUGUGAGAGAAAAUUGAAAUAUAUUGAAAAAUUAUUAUAAUAAAAGAAAAUUUAAUUUAU